UCUUUUUUAGUAUAAUAAGUACACUUCUUUUCCACAGAAAAAGUUUAAUUUAAAAAAAGAA
RNAcentral lists this transfer RNA (61 nucleotides) under Spirobrachia sp. YL-2014. Its description in RNAcentral is "tRNA-Gly". The record is from RNAcentral. Lineage: Eukaryota; Metazoa; Annelida; Polychaeta; Sabellida; Siboglinidae.